This 253-nucleotide ribosomal RNA is filed under the name uncultured bacterium. RNAcentral's name for it is "partial 16S ribosomal RNA". It matches the Rfam family "Bacterial small subunit ribosomal RNA", at positions 524 to 776 of the family's 1533-position model. The record is from RNAcentral.
UACGUAGGGGGCAAGCGUUGUCCGGAUUUAUUGGGCGUAAAGAGCGCGUAGGCGGAAGGUGAAGCGUGGCCUGAAAGCCCCCGGCUCAACCGGGGAAGGCGGCUGCGAACUGGCCUUCUUGAGGGCGAUAGAGGGGGGCGGAAUUCCUGGUGUAGCGGUGAAAUGCGUAGAGAUCAGGAGGAACACCCGUGGCGAAGGCGGCCCCCUGGGUCGGCCCUGACGCUGAGGCGCGAAAGCUAGGGGAGCAAACAGG